GUGCUCGCUCCGGCAGCAAAUAUACUAAAAUGGGAACAAUACAGAGAAGAUUAGCAUGGCCCCUGCACAAGCAUGACACGCAAAUUCGUGAAGCGUUCCAAAUUUUU
Loxodonta africana (African savanna elephant) is the source of this 107-nucleotide small nuclear RNA. Lineage: Eukaryota; Metazoa; Chordata; Mammalia; Proboscidea; Elephantidae. The record is from Ensembl.